This 646-nucleotide long non-coding RNA is filed under the name Coffea arabica (coffee). Its description in RNAcentral is "long non-coding RNA (CARA_LNC001446)". The record is from RNAcentral. Lineage: Eukaryota; Viridiplantae; Streptophyta; Magnoliopsida; Gentianales; Rubiaceae.
AAGAAAGGUUGGCAAACCCCUCCGAAAUAUAGAGCAUGCCAGGAGGAAAGGAUACCAAGAACUACUAUGUUACAACAAUAGCUUGACAUUGAGUUGACUCCGGAAGAACAUGUUGCGCUUUGUCAUCGAUUAACUUCUGGCACCUGUACAUAAUUUGAACUUCGACAACAAAGGUAAAUUGAACUCUGAACUGAUAGAUCCUAGCCCUCUUCUCUGGUUCUGAAUUUGAGGUCCUCCUCCAUUUCAUCUGACCUUCCAUUCAGAUGGGUUUACCUACUUAUGGGUUUUCAGGUGGAAAUUCAUUGAGCACUUGGCGAACAAAUUGUCCUUUCACCCUUGGACGCUUCUCAGCAAGUUUUUUCCUGCUUUCAUAUCGCACCUGUAAGAAGCUCAGGAGAUAAAUUAAAGAGGUGGAGGAGUAAAAAAAAACAGAGAGAGAGAGAAACUAUUCUUAAAAAGUAGCUCAAAGUAUGAAUUUGCAGACUUGUAGAAAAUCAUUAAAAAGCCAAUUCUUGUGAUCCCUCUAAACAGCAGAUACUGGAGAAACUUAUACAUGCAUUUGGCAGACUACUGUACACAACCAUCAUACAGGAAAAAAAACGGAAGACUGCCCUGCUUUCUUGAAUUUCAAGUCCUGAUCCCCACU